Molecule: ribosomal RNA, 774 nt
Filed under: uncultured Neocallimastigales
Lineage: Eukaryota; Fungi; Neocallimastigomycota; Neocallimastigomycetes; Neocallimastigales
Description: partial large subunit ribosomal RNA
Rfam family: Eukaryotic large subunit ribosomal RNA
Source: RNAcentral
UAUGUGAUCGUCUCUCGCAUAUCAAUAAGCGGAGGAAAAGAAACUAACAAGGAUUCCCCUAGUAACGGCGAGUGAAGCGGGAAGAGCUCAAAUUUGAAAUCUUAAAGGGUUUCCCUUUACGAAUUGUAGUUUAAAGAAGUGUUUUCUGUUGAGGUUUUGGUAAAAGUUCUUUGGAAUAGGACAUCAUAGAGGGUGAGAAUCCCGUAUUUGACCUUUACUUUCAACUUUGUGAUACACUUUCAAAGAGUCGGAUUGUUUGGGAAUGCAGUCCAAAAUGGGUGGUAAAUUUCAUCUAAAGCUAAAUAUUGGCGAGAGACCGAUAGCGAACAAGUACCGUGAGGGAAAGAUGAAAAGAACUUUGAAAAGAGAGUUAAACAGUACGUGAAAUUGUCAAAAGGGAAGCGUUUGACACCAGUGUUGUUUUUCUGAAAAUCAAUUAAAGAACUGUUUAUGCUAAGUUGUUUAGACUUUAUCAGCUAACUGUUUAGUUUUGAGCUUUUCUUUAAUGCACUUUUCAGUUAGCAAGUCAACAUCAAUUUCUUUUGCUGUAAAAAAGCUUGAGGAAGGUGGCUUGAGAUUCGUCUUAAGUGUUUAUAGCCUCUUGCCUAUGCAGUCGGAGAGAUUGAGGUCUGCAGCGUAGAUCCUUCGGGGCUAAAUGCAUUUGUGCUGAGUUAUAGCAUUUUAUAGACAACUUGUUGACUAUGAUUUGUCUUGUAGCUUACUCGCUUAUGUUAUUUUACCUACGCUUAGGAUGUUGAUCUGUAGUGCGUGCGC